This 216-nucleotide ribosomal RNA is filed under the name Glomeromycotina sp. Its description in RNAcentral is "partial small subunit ribosomal RNA". The stretch from base 40 to 216 matches the Rfam family "Eukaryotic small subunit ribosomal RNA", at positions 686 to 864 of the family's 1831-position model. The record is from RNAcentral. Lineage: Eukaryota; Fungi; Glomeromycota.
GGGUCAGUAGGUUGGUCGUGCCACCGGUACGUACUGAUCUCACUGAUUCCUCCUUCCUGAAGAACCGUUAUGCCAUUAAUUUGGUGUUGCGGGGAAACAGGACUGUUACUUUGAAAAAAUUAGAGUGUUUAAAGCAAGCUAACGCUUGAAUACAUUAGCAUGGAAUAAUGAAAUAGGACGAUCGAUCCUAUUUUGUUGGUUUCUAGGAUUGACGUA